This is a long non-coding RNA of Mesocricetus auratus (golden hamster), 5256 nucleotides long. RefSeq lists it as uncharacterized. The record is from RefSeq and is a predicted model, not a curated record. NCBI's taxonomy places the organism in Eukaryota, Metazoa, Chordata, Mammalia, Rodentia, Cricetidae. The transcript is spliced from 2 exons.
GGGGGGGAGAGGAAGUGGGGUGGGAACACGGACACCCAGCACUGCAAUGACAAGCAGGGUCAAUCUUUCUGCGUGAGGACUCACUUCUGUCAUUAUUACUCUGUGACUAUCACCUGAGGUCAGUGCAGACCCAGUCCAAUCAUGUUACACUUACCUUGGAAAGGAGUAACAAGCAAGUUACGGUCGGCUGUGAGUUUUCAUGGAUGGAUGGUGGAUGCAUUCGGAAAGGCUUGACUCCAUCUGUUCCCGAGCACCUGGCCUAGGAUUCCACUUAGGGCGAGGUCAAAACCUUGCCAUGAAAGCAGCCUCACUUUUGCAGGAAUCAGCUUCAAAGAAGAUGCCCAGCAUCCGACCCAGUUAGACUCAGAAAGUCCCCCACCCACCGAAGGACUGAGAGCGGUCUCUUUAAUACGGUACUGCUCUUGACCAGUGAUAGGAAGAUGGGGUCCUGUCAAUCAUAUGUCUUUGCAUUGCCUUAUCACCCCCACUUGUCAGAAGGCCUGUCUUGUUGUAUCUGUCCUGACAUCAGCUUCACAUUGGAAAUGGGAGGCUCUCUCAGCUUCACAUUGGAAAUGGGAGGUUCUCUCAGCUUCACAUUGGAAAUGGGAGGCUCUCUCAGCUUCACAUUGGAAAUGGGAGGUUCUCUCAGCUUCACAUUGGAAAUGGGAGGUUCUCUCAGCUUCACAUUGGAAAUGGGAGGUUCUCUCAGCUUCACAUUGGAAAUGGGAGGUUCUCUAAAGUUCUGGCAGGAACAUUCCAGGUGACCUAGAGAAACAGGCUUUCGUUGCUCCAUAGUUUAAAGUACUAAUGAGCAAUUCUAAUACAAAAUCACAUUGUCCAUAAUUGUUUUCAGUAUAGUCUGAAGACUGGCCUACAGAUACAGAAUAUUUAUAGCCAAUCUGAUCUUUGCUUUGAGUCACUGUUGAAAAUGAAAAUAUUUAAUCUUCAGUUAGACUGAAUAAUCUUUAUUUUCCAUCUAAAAUAUUAUUUCAAGAUACUCAAAUACAUUAGGCUUCUCUUUUUUGAAAACAAUUUCCUGAAGCUGUUUCCAAAUUCUGAUGGUUAUGGAUGAUAAAAAAAAAACCUUCUCGAUGUGUUUCUUCAUCAUAUCUUUGAAACAUGAAUAAUAAUAUAUUUUGUAAGGGACACAAGUAUGACCCUAAUUUGAAAAUUAUCUCAUAGGUGCCUCCUUUUAACUUGACCUGUUUUGUAUGCAUGUGCAACUAAAUGUUUAUCAGUGUAACUAAUAUAUAAUUUGUAUAGGUUACUAAAUAUCAUAUUCAUGACUGAUUACUUUUCUGGUCAUUACAUUCUUAGCUUUAGUAAUAUUUUUAUGAUCAUCUAUAAACCAAGAGGGUGUUCUAAUGCCUCCUAAAUUUUAAAUUCUUUGGUCGAAAUGACACGAAAGUCAUCUGUCAUUCUAUGUCCAACAGAUACUGCUGUUCCCCUUAAAAUUUUUAAGUAUCUCAUGAGUUUGGUGAGUGGGAACGGUGACUUGAACACAGACAAAUCCAGUGAAUGCAAGUUACAAACAAAAUGGGCUAUCGGGCUGAUGUUCUAAGUUAAUAUUCUUACCAGUUUGGACUCCAGUCAUUUUUAUCUCUGGUCAUGCGAGAUACAUGUAUGCAUUUCAAUACACAACACAUACACAUGUAUACCUAUAGUCUAUUUAACGUGAUAAACACCAACUAUGAGAUGAUCAAAAGCAGCACGAUGAGUUUAUUUCAUCUGGGAGGUUACAGUCCGUCAUCGAGGAAAGCCAUGGUAGGAACCUGGGGGCAGAAUGUGGAGCAGAGAGCAUGGAGGACACUUCACCGGCUUGCUGCGCCCAUCUGCUCAGCUGUUAGACAGCCGGCCACCCCGACCUACAGACAGUGCUGUCCAUGGUGAGCGGGGCCCUCCCAUAGUAACCGAGGAAAUGCCCAAAGGUCCGUCUGAUCAAGGCCAUCUCUAAUUGAGACCCCUUCGUAUUACUCGGGAUGUGUCAGCUUGAUGCCUGGAGCUAACUAAAGCAUGUAAAGCUAAACUACUUCCACACGGCUCUUCAGGGAACCAAAUUUAAACCUCCAAGGAAAAUAUUUCAGGACUCAGGCAAACUACAGAUUAGAAAGCAAAUCUUAAUUUAGACACAACUCAAACCGACAUUGUGAUGGUCAGAUUCAUUCAUGGGGUUGUUUGUUUUUUAUCUCUUUGCAGGCUACUGGAGCUGCACUGGAUAUUUUCAAUAGAGACCAUACAAUUUACAUCACCUAAAAUGUCUAUAUGGUCCUUUAUAAGAAAAAAAAUGCUCAUUUUCAUUGCCCCUCACACUUUGUGAUGACCUUUAGGGAUCCAUGUUCCAAAGCUGUAGGAUUUUUGCCUUAGUUAGGGCUAUUUCUCUUAUUUGCUAUUUAGAGGUUAGGUGAGCUUUGUUUCAUAUUGCAAAUGGUCUCACAACAGUUGUGCAAGAGGUAAAAUUAAAAUUUCCAUGUGAACAAAAAAUGAAAAAUUAUACCAUUUCCCGAAAAAGAAAAUUAGUGUGAUGAGUUAAAAGUAGAAGUUAAGAUUUCCAGUUGUUUGGACAUAUUUUAGAAACUUAAAAAAAACACAUGUGAAUUAAACAAACUAACAAAAAAACCAAAUAAUGUUCACUCAUAUUUAAGUCAAACUGGAGCCCUGUUGCUUAGCAAGCUACAGAAUGUGCACCCUCAGGUUUUGAAUUUCUCAUGAUACGAUGAAGUAGUUUCUAUUGGAUUUUCAUUAACAUUUAGGAGAUAGUGUAUUAUUCUAUGACAAUCACUUGCUCAUCAACAGUUUGGGCGAACACUUACACGGGCAACUUCACUUUUAAAAACGACUUUCCUAUGUCCAUGCUUCUCUGAGUGUGGUGGGUUCCAUGUGAAAAGCACCUCUAGUUCAUACUUUACUUUCCUAGCAAAUCUAGGAGACCAAGAAGAGCCCUCUAGUCCAUUUCUACCCAGAAAAAUUACCCAUCCCAAAGCAUCUGCCUUAAGGGAACCAAGUAACUCAGUUAUUCAGGGGAAUCUAAGCAUUUGUGGCUUGUUUCAGCCUGACUUUCAACAUUUGUAACUGCAAAGGUCACAGAUGAGACUGUAAGGAGGAAGCAAUUAUCAGCCUGUCAUUAGGAAGAUCUGCAGUUUCUGUAUGAUGGGAUGGAAGAGUCUCUUUAAACUGAUGGAGCCAUCAGUAAGAAGAUACAGCCACUGGGACAUUACAGAAUGUGGGAACAAAAGACAUGAGUCACCCUCUGAGCCCUGGUGCUUAGCAUGGGCUGGAGACAAAUUGCUGGAAUGAGAGGGAGAAGGUGACACACAUUCGGAUUGAACAUUCUUAUCUGCCUGUCUUCCAGAUGGCUCCAAGUUUGAAUAGACUUAAAACCUUACAAUAGCUACUUUUCUUUCUAGAAAUUAAACAGCAUGGCUUAGAGGAUAUUUGGCCUUCGUGGAAAGCAAACUUGAAGGACAUGAUUCACUAGUAGCAAAAGCUUCCAAGAAACAGCCCGUUCCAGGAACCCUUUUCCCACAGUAAAUCUUUUCUGACAAGCCAUUGCUUGCAAAAUAUGAAUGGAAAAUGAAUUUAGCCCAGUGAUACUCUUUGGGUAGCUAAGAUGUCUCUUUUGGAGAGAAAAGACAAGUAAUCACACAUACAGCCUGUACUGAAUACAUGCAGACAGUAAGCACUUCACGGUGGGAGAGAGGAAAAUGGUCUCUUGUGCCAAGAAUGUGCAAUGCGGAUCUUGAACGGUUAGACAAUCUGCAAUUAGGGAGGAAGGGGACUUGCCUGAUCAAGGAGCGGCAGCGCCGGGGUAGAGAAACACAAGGCUGAGAUACACAUGGUAUCGUGGAGCGGGCAGUAGUCUUAUAUCUAAACCAAGCUCCUUGCUGCUCUCUGCUCUGGACAGCUGAAGGGGAAGCUCUUCUCCUGCCCCUGCUACCUGGCUAGUCUCCUAGUACACACCUAAGCAGCAUGAAGUCACCCAGCAUUGUGAACACAUGUGUUUGGAUGCACACAGCUAAUCUUCAAACCUCAAGCUGGUCCUGCCAGGUUCUUACAUUCCUCACUCUCUUUUGUUCAGUGUAUGUAAGGUUAUAAUUAUACAAUAUAAAAAAUCUAAAGAAUCUACUAUAUCUCGGAGGCACUACUUUCCAUUCAUCUUUAAGACAUUUGGAUUUUUAAAAUAUGGAUUACUAAUUAGAAUUACAGUGUGACUUCUCUGACUUGAGUAUCUUUGUCUAUUUCUGGUAAUGUCUGUGGAUAGUGGAUGGCUGCAUUACUCCAGGAUGAGAGACGGAGACAAAGACUAUCAUCCAGGUGCUAAGAAGUAAAGAUACUAUUAGGACAGAGAAAACAUGUUAGUGGACACUGAGAAAGGGAGACUUGCCGUGAGGGGUUUCCAGGCGUAGACGGCAUCAUCUGGGAUGUCUUUUUGAGACUUCUCAGAUGUGAAAUUUGCAUUGCUGGGUUGUUGAGAGUUUUUUGGACUAAAGGUACAUAAGCAACCUCAAUGGCAGCAUGGAUGAGUACAGAAUAGCAUCAUAUGCAAUAAAACAGGUUUCCUGUAGUCUAGAUCACAAGUCAUUAACCCAAAAUGUGAGUGUGUAUGAUGAAAUGGAGAAGAAAGUAUAAAUACGUUAAUUUACACAGCUAAGAUUAUGGUUGGCUUUUACACUUUCUAAUAAAAAGUACUAAAAGAAGCUGUGAACAUUAAUGUGUCAAAAUGGUGCUAUUGAUUCCUUAAUACAAAGACACGAUUAUAAUAUUUUUAGGUAAGCAUGUUAAGCCUGGUUUGGCUACAAAUGUAAAUACAUAAAAUGCUUGCAAUCAACAAAACCAUGUCCAUUUGCUAAUGGUUGAGGUACUGUAUUCUUCAAUGUGCGUGACUGACCAGAGUUCACACUUCCUAUGAGGAGACCAGGACAGCCAUUGGCUCUCUCUCAACUGCCAAAAGUCUAAGAUAUUUGAUGGCUCACUGGAUUUUUCUUGGAUGCAGGUUGGACAACCCAAGUCAAUGAUUAAAUAUGUCCAUUUGGUGACAGUAGGGGUGUUGGCCAAGAACUUGAAGAAAGACUAUGCGACAUGAGCAAAGUCAAUGCUGCUAGGCUAACUGUAGAGCCUGACUUUAGUGAGGACCGAUGUAACUCUAAGUUCACCCAGAUUGUCAGAGCAUGCCAAAAGAAGCUAGCCGGUGCCCUGCAGCUGGCCAAUCUGUAAAGGAAUCUGCAUGUGCAAUGUGAUAAUAAAUCAUCUAAGAGCCCA